This 774-nucleotide ribosomal RNA is filed under the name uncultured Neocallimastigales. RNAcentral's name for it is "partial large subunit ribosomal RNA". It matches the Rfam family "Eukaryotic large subunit ribosomal RNA", at positions 26 to 628 of the family's 3401-position model. Lineage: Eukaryota; Fungi; Neocallimastigomycota; Neocallimastigomycetes; Neocallimastigales. The record is from RNAcentral.
CGCAUCUGUGCAUGCAGCAUAUCAAUAAGCGGAGGAAAAGAAACUAACAAGGAUUCCCCUAGUAACGGCGAGUGAAGCGGGAAGAGCUCAAAUUUGAAAUCUUAAAGGGUUUCCCUUUACGAAUUGUAGUUUAAAGAAGUGUUUUCUGUUGAGGUUUUGGUAAAAGUUCUUUGGAAUAGGACAUCAUAGAGGGUGAGAAUCCCGUAUUUGACCUUUACUUUCAACUUUGUGAUACACUUUCAAAGAGUCGGAUUGUUUGGGAAUGCAGUCCAAAAUGGGUGGUAAAUUUCAUCUAAAGCUAAAUAUUGGCGAGAGACCGAUAGCGAACAAGUACCGUGAGGGAAAGAUGAAAAGAACUUUGAAAAGAGAGUUAAACAGUACGUGAAAUUGUCAAAAGGGAAGCGUUUGACUCCAGUGUUGUUUUUCUGAAAAUCAAUUAAAGAACUGUUUAUGCUAAGUUGUUUAGACUUUAUCAGCUAUCUGUUUAGUUUUGAGCUAUUCUUUAAUGCACUUUUCAGUUAACAAGUCAACAUCAAUUUCUUUUGCUGUAAAAAAGCUUGAGGAAGGUGGCUUGAGAUUCGUCUUAAGUGUUUAUAGCCUCUUGCCUAUGCAGUCGGAGAGAUUGAGGUCUGCAGCGUAGAUCCUUCGGGGCUAAAUGCAUUUGUGCUAAGUUAUAGCAUUUUAUAGACAACUUGUUGACUAUGAUUUGUCUUGUAGCUUACUCGCUUAUGUUAUUUUACCUACGCUUAGGAUGUUGAGUCGUAGAGCACGCAG